UGAGGAUCGGACCCAGGGCCCCGCACGUGCCAGGCAGGUGCCCCGGCCCCCACCCCCCACCUCAUUUCCUUUAUAGUAUUUUCCAGGCACCAACCCUGAUGUGGGGGGCGUGGAAUAAGUUUGGUGGGAAUUUGGGAGCAGAGAAGAACCCUGUUACUCCUCUGGGGAGACUUCAUUUCCCUCCUGGGAUAGGAAUGGCCCCAUGGGAGGCCACUGUGUUGGCGGUAAUGUGUUAAAGCAGCGGUGGGAAACUAAUGCAGACCUGAAUGCAGUGGACACCCCGAGAGUUAUUGGGGAAGAACAUUUCAGGUGGGAGCAAUGGGUCCAGGACUGUCCUGUCACCCCUGUCCUGGAGGACAGGUUUCCAGCCAGGCGGUGGCUGAGAGCAGCCCUUGGUCACCCGUGCUGCUUGGGACGGGCUCCUCAGGCUCCGUGGGAUGCAGCCCCACCGGCGAGGGGAGGCCCAGGGACUAGGAGGGCGUCUGCUGGACAUUCCAUGUCCAGAGGCAAGCCGUGACGGUGGCCCUGCUCCCUGGAGGCCGGCUUGGCCUCGUGGUCACCUGUCCACCCUGUGCAGACACAUUUGCCUGAGCAUCACUGUCGGCCCUGGGGCGGUGUCAGGUUUCUCUAGGUAAAUGCCGAGCUUCUGCCCUCGGGGGUUCUUGACAGGGUAUGGAAAUAGGGAC
Molecule: non-coding RNA, 686 nt
Organism: Ictidomys tridecemlineatus (thirteen-lined ground squirrel)
Lineage: Eukaryota; Metazoa; Chordata; Mammalia; Rodentia; Sciuridae
Source: RefSeq, a predicted model, not a curated record